RNAcentral lists this ribosomal RNA (468 nucleotides) under uncultured bacterium. RNAcentral's name for it is "partial 16S ribosomal RNA". It matches the Rfam family "Bacterial small subunit ribosomal RNA", at positions 28 to 507 of the family's 1533-position model. The record is from RNAcentral.
GACGAACGCUGGCGGCGUGCUUAACACAUGCAAGUCGAACGGAAAGGCCCUGCUUUUGUGGGGUGCUCGAGUGGCGAACGGGUGAGUAACACGUGAGUAACCUGCCCUUGACUUUGGGAUAACUUCAGGAAACUGGGGCUAAUACCGGAUAGGAGCUCCUGCUGCAUGGUGGGGGUUGGAAAGUUUCGGCGGUUGGGGAUGGACUCGCGGCUUAUCAGCUUGUUGGUGGGGUAGUGGCUUACCAAGGCUUUGACGGGUAGCCGGCCUGAGAGGGUGACCGGCGACAUUGGGACUGAGAUACGGCCCAGACUGCUACGGGAGGCAGCAGUGGAGAAUAUUGCACAAUGGGCGGAAGCCUGAUGCAGCGACGCCGCGUGCGUGAUGACGGCCUUCGGGUUGUAAACCGCUUUCGCCUGUGACGAAGCGUGAGUGACGGUAAUGGGUAAAGAAGCACCGGCUAACUACGUG